This 919-nucleotide ribosomal RNA is filed under the name uncultured organism. RNAcentral's name for it is "bacterial SSU rRNA". It matches the Rfam family "Bacterial small subunit ribosomal RNA", at positions 40 to 963 of the family's 1533-position model. The record is from RNAcentral.
CGGCAGGCCUACACAUGCAAGUGAGGGGUAGGUUCAGCUUGCUGAACACACGACGGCGCACGGGUGAGUAACGCGUUUGCAUUUACCUCUAACUGGAAGAUAGCCCGAAGAAAUUCGGAUUAAUACUCCAUAAUAUUAGGAAUUCGCAUGAUUUCCUAAUUAAAGCUCCGGCGGUUAGAGAUGAGCAUGCGUGUCAUUAGCUAGUUGGUAAGGUAACGGCUUACCAAGGCGACGAUGACUAGGGGGUCUGAGAGGAUGGUCCCCCACACUGGUACUGAGACACGGACCAGACUCCUACGGGAGGCAGCAGUGAGGAAUAUUGGGCAAUGGGCGCAAGCCUGACCCAGCCAUGCCGCGUGCAGGAUGACUGCCCUAUGGGUUGUAAACUGCUUUUAUACGGGAAGAAUGGUUCCUACGUGUAGGGAUUUGACGGUACCGUAAGAAUAAGCAUCGGCUAACUCCGUGCCAGCAGCCGCGGUAAUACGGAGGAUGCAAGCGUUAUCCGGAUUCAUUGGGUUUAAAGGGUGCGCAGGCGGAAUAUUAAGUCAGUGGUGAAAUCCUGCAGCUUAACUGUAGAACUGCCAUUGAUACUGAUAUUCUUGAAUAUAGUUGAGGUGGGCGGAAUGUGUAAUGUAGCGGUGAAAUGCUUAGAUAUUACACAGAACACCGAUUGCGAAGGCAGCUCACUAAACUAAUAUUGACGCUGAGGCACGAAAGCGUGGGGAGCGAACAGGAUUAGAUACCCUGGUAGUCCACGCUGUAAACGAUGAUCACUCGCUGUUGGCAAUACAUCGUCAGCGGCCGAGCGAAAGCAUUAAGUGAUCCACCUGGGGAAUACGAUCGCAAGAUUGAAACUUCAAAGGAAUUGACGGGGGCCCGCACAAGCGGAGGAACCUGUGGUUUAAUUCGAUGAUACGCG